This 497-nucleotide ribosomal RNA is filed under the name uncultured bacterium. Its description in RNAcentral is "partial 16S ribosomal RNA". It matches the Rfam family "Bacterial small subunit ribosomal RNA", at positions 28 to 507 of the family's 1533-position model. The record is from RNAcentral.
GACGAACGCUGGCGGCGUGCCUAACACAUGCAAGUCGAGCGAACAGACGACGUUCGUGCUCCUCGGACGUUAGCGGCGGACGGGUGAGUAACAUGUGCAUAACUUACCUACAAGACUGGGACAACAUCGGGAAACCAAUGCCAAUACGGGAUAAUAUCUUGAAGGGCAGGGUUCAAUAGUGUAAGACGGUUUUGAUGUAACUUCUAGAUGUAUCCGCGCCGCAUUGGCUGUUUGGUACGGUAACGGCUUACCAAGGCGACGAUGCGUAGCCGACCUGAGAGGGGGAUCGGCGACACUGGAACUGAGACACGGUCCAGAGUCCUACGGGAGGCAGCGGUAGGGAAUGUUCGGAGAUGGGCGGAAGCCUGACGGAGGAGCGCAGGGUGAGUGCUGAAAGGCUUCGGACCGUAAAACUCUGUUAUUGGGGAAAAACGAAUGUGUAAGGAACUAAGCUCGUCGUGACGGUACCUGAACAAGAAGCAACGGCUAACUACGUG